AACCAUAGAAACCUGCGGAGUACCUGCGGAAGGAUCAUUACCGAGUGCAAACUCACCAACCCAUGUGAACAUACCUUCUGUUGCUUCGGCGGGAUCGCCCCGGGCGCCCUCUGCGCGCCCCGGACCAGGCACCCGCCGGGGGAUGCAAACUUUGGCUUUUAGUGGAUCUUCUGAGUCGCCUUAGGGCAAACAAAUGAAUCAAAACUUUUAACAACGGAUCU
Molecule: unclassified non-coding RNA, 221 nt
Filed under: soil metagenome
Description: partial contains 5.8S ribosomal RNA, internal transcribed spacer 2, and large subunit ribosomal RNA
Source: RNAcentral